RNAcentral lists this small nuclear RNA (164 nucleotides) under Sciurus vulgaris (Eurasian red squirrel). RNAcentral's name for it is "U1 spliceosomal RNA (ENSSVLG00005016770.1)". It matches the Rfam family "U1 spliceosomal RNA". From Rfam's summary of the family: U1 is a small nuclear RNA (snRNA) component of the spliceosome (involved in pre-mRNA splicing). Its 5' end forms complementary base pairs with the 5' splice junction, thus defining the 5' donor site of an intron. There are significant differences in sequence and secondary structure between metazoan and yeast U1 snRNAs, the latter being much longer (568 nucleotides as compared to 164 nucleotides in human). Lineage: Eukaryota; Metazoa; Chordata; Mammalia; Rodentia; Sciuridae. The record is from Rfam by way of RNAcentral.
AUACUUACCUGGCAGGAGAGAUACCAUGAUCGUGAAGGUGGUUUUCCCAGGGCAAGUUUUAGCCAUUGCACUUCUGAUGUGCUGACCUUUGCAAUUUCCCCAAAUGCGGCAAUCUUGACUGCAUAAUUUGUGGUAGUUGGGGACUGCGUUUGUGCUCUCCCCUG